GACGAACGCUGGCGGCGUGCUUAACACAUGCAAGUCGAGCGGUAAGGCCCUUUCGGGGGUACACGAGCGGCGAACGGGUGAGUAACACGUGGGUGACCUGCCCUCAGCUCUGGGAUAAGCCCGGGAAACCGGGUCUAAUACUGGAUAUGACUCCAUGACGCAUGUUGUGGGGUGGAAAGCCUUGUGCGGCUGAGGAUGGGCCCGCGGCCUAUCAGCUUGUUGGUGGGGUGAUGGCCUACCAAGGCGACGACGGGUAGCCGGCCUGAGAGGGCGACCGGCCACACUGGGACUGAGACACGGCCCAGACUCCUACGGGAGGCAGCAGUGGGGAAUCUUGCGCAAUGGGCGAAAGCCUGACGCAGCGACGCCGCGUGAGGGAUGACGGCCUGG
This 390-nucleotide ribosomal RNA is filed under the name uncultured bacterium. RNAcentral's name for it is "bacterial SSU rRNA". It matches the Rfam family "Bacterial small subunit ribosomal RNA", at positions 28 to 419 of the family's 1533-position model. The record is from RNAcentral.